Molecule: long non-coding RNA, 467 nt
Organism: Oreochromis aureus
Lineage: Eukaryota; Metazoa; Chordata; Actinopteri; Cichliformes; Cichlidae
Source: Ensembl
GUUACGGUUGCCAUGGUUACAGGGUGACGCUCUCUCUCUGCGUGUUUCCUGGGUGAGAGAGCGCCUUUGUGUUGUUGUUGUUGUGCUAAGCUAAUAGGCAGACUGCUACAGGCAUAGCUCUAAAGAAUGUAGCAUCAUGGGCAGUGUAGUCCGUGCUGCAGGGAGAAUGGACUACCAUACCCGUUAUGUGUCUGUGAGCGAGGGAGGGAGAGAAAGGAAAAGUCCGAGCUGUCACGGAGCAAAAACGGGAGCUGGAAGCAUGUAAAUAUAAUAAUAACCACCGCAGCCAAGAAGAGUGCCUGACGAGCCCAUUUUACAUGAGGAUCUGCAAGGACCGGGAGCCGUCGUCAGUCCCCUCCGAGGCCUUCCCCAAACCGCAGCUCAAUUCAUGUCCAAGCAUUCACCUUUACCUACUAAAACGCUGUCAAACCUAAAAUGAGGACGUGGGCCCAGCUAGUGAAUUAGAG